AUUCAGCCCGUGGCAAUGGGAGCAGCCCCUGCUCCUGUCAGCCCAGGCCCGAACAUCCCUCACUACAUUGCAAAAUAGAGUUUUCCCACCGUCGCCAAGAGCGACACAACCUUUUGCUGCACUAAUUCAGGCCCUGGGUUUUGUGCUCCUCCUUCAGGAGAGUGCUGUAUUUCAAUUUUACUAAAAGAGGCCUUUUCCACUUGAAAAUUUGCUAAAGAGGGCAGGAUUUGAUUAUAAAGCAGCCCUGGCCAAAUGCAGCCCCUCCUCCUCCUCUCUCUCUGCUGACAACAUCCUCCCCUCCACAACAACAAUCAUCUGAGCACAAACAGACAACGGAGCUUUUCAGAAAGGAAUGAACUCUGGUCGGAGCCAAGGCAGGAAGGGUUUAAUGUUCAGCACAGAAAGCUUGGCGAGGCCAUCAAUUAUAUAGCCCUGCUGCUGAAGGAGCAAAAAGAAGAGAAUAUUUCAGACAGACCCAGCCAAAAAGAAAAGAUAGGGAAGGAAAUCACUGCGAGAGAGAUUUAAUUCCACGAGCGGAGAGAAGUGUUUGCAAAGGAGGAGGAGGAUCAAAGGCUGAAGCUCUCGGGCUGCCUGCGAGGAGGAGGGAUUACAAGGAGGGCAAACCACGGAGAAGACAUCUCUGUCUGUGCCUUGUCUCAAGGCUGGUCCAGGCAAGGAGAGCCCCAGGCACAAAUUGGGGAGCCUGUGGGCUGUGGGGGCUCGGAUUGCAAGCCAGGAUCCCCAUGGAUGCCACCUUCAUGGCAAAGGCUACAUCAAACAGACAAAAAUCCCUUGGGAAGAGCCCUUUGCUUCUGUCCUUUGGCUCCUCAAGCCUCUGCAACAGGUUUUUGCUUCUGGACUCGCCUCCGGAGAGACCGGCCGGAAAAAUCAGUUCUAAAGGCCAAAAAGAAGAGCCAGAUUAAAGUAUCAACUCUGAAUUUAUGCUCGGGACUUAAGGUUUAAUAAUGCAACAGAAAAUCAAUAUUUAAUAAAGCAAAUGAUGGAGAAAAACA
Pseudopipra pipra is the source of this 1013-nucleotide long non-coding RNA. RefSeq lists it as uncharacterized. The record is from RefSeq and is a predicted model, not a curated record. The transcript is spliced from 2 exons. Lineage: Eukaryota; Metazoa; Chordata; Aves; Passeriformes; Pipridae.